GGAUCUUUCUUGUGUAAGGUGGGAGGUUUCGGGAUCCGGACCGGAGGUGUAGAUUUAAAGAUGCUUUUUACUAAGAUCAUAUCCGUGUUGCUUUGCUAUCCAUGCUACAACAUAUGCAUAGUCUAGAUUGCUCUAGAUUGGUUACUUUUGCUCUAUCUAUUAUUUGUCUGUACAUGCUUAAGUAGAUUGGAUUUGAAUCUCUCAUAAACACCAAGUUAAUACUAACAAUGCUAGUUGAAAUAGAUCUUUUGCUUUAAAUUUCACGAAUUGAUAAACCUUGGGGGAAUACUCUGAGAGAAGAGCUAUAACUGAUCCAUACGCUUGUGGUUCACAAAUUGGCGUGUU
This 345-nucleotide long non-coding RNA is filed under the name Setaria viridis. Its description in RNAcentral is "long non-coding RNA (SVIR_LNC002630)". Lineage: Eukaryota; Viridiplantae; Streptophyta; Magnoliopsida; Poales; Poaceae. The record is from RNAcentral.